RNAcentral lists this ribosomal RNA (460 nucleotides) under uncultured bacterium. Its description in RNAcentral is "partial 16S ribosomal RNA". It matches the Rfam family "Bacterial small subunit ribosomal RNA", at positions 338 to 795 of the family's 1533-position model. The record is from RNAcentral.
CCUACGGGCGGCAGCAGUGAGGAAUAUUGGUCAAUGGGCUUACGCCUGAACCAGCCAAGUCGCGUGAGGGAAGACUGCCCUAUGGGUUGUAAACCUCUUUUGUCAGGGAGCAAUUGGCGCUACGUGUAGCGUUAUCGAGAGUACCUGAAGAAAAAGCAUCGGCUAACUCCGUGCCAGCAGCCGCGGUAAUACGGAGGAUGCGAGCGUUAUCCGGAUUUAUUGGGUUUAAAGGGUGCGUAGGCGGAAUGCCAAGUCAGCGGUAAAAUCGCGGGGCUCAACCUCGCUCCGCCGUUGAUACUGGCGGUCUUGAGUGGGCGAGAAGUAUGCGGAAUGCGUGGUGUAGCGGUGAAAUGCAUAGAUAUCACGCAGAACUCCGAUUGCGAAGGCAGCAUACCGGCGCCCAACUGACGCUGAGGCACGAAAGCGUGGGUAUCGAACAGGAUUAGAUACCCUUGUAGUC